AACGCUGGCGGCAGGCUUAACACAUGCAAGUCGAGCGGGGGAAGGUAGCUUGCUACCGGACCUAGCGGCGGACGGGUGAGUAAUGCUUAGGAAUCUGCCUAUUAGUGGGGGACAACAUCUCGAAAGGGAUGCUAAUACCGCAUACGUCCUACGGGAGAAAGCAGGGGAUCUUCGGACCUUGCGCUAAUAGAUGAGCCUAAGUCGGAUUAGCUAGUUGGUGGGGUAAAGGCCUACCAAGGCGACGAUCUGUAGCGGGUCUGAGAGGAUGAUCCGCCACACUGGGACUGAGACACGGCCCAGACUCCUACGGGAGGCAGCAGUGGGGAAUAUUGGACAAUGGGGGGAACCCUGAUCCAGCCAUGCCGCGUGUGUGAAGAAGGCCUUAUGGUUGUAAAGCACUUUAAGCGAGGAGGAGGCUACUUUAGUUAAUACCUAGAGAUAGUGGACGUUACUCGCAGAAUAAGCACCGGCUAACUCUGUGCCAGCAGCCGCGGUAAUACAGAGGGUGCGAGCGUUAAUCGGAUUUACUGGGCGUAAAGCGUGCGUAGGCGGCUUAUUAAGUCGGAUGUGAAAUCCCCGAGCUUAACUUGGGAAUUGCAUUCGAUACUGGUGAGCUAGAGUAUGGGAGAGGAUGGUAGAAUUCCAGCACUAGCGGUGAAAUGCGUAGAGAUCUGGAGGAAUACCGAUGGCGAAGGCAGCCAUCUGGCCUAAUACUGACGCUGAGGUACGAAAGCAUGGGGAGCAAACAGGAUUAGAUACCCUGGUAGUCCAUGCCGUAAACGAUGUCUACUAGCCGUUGGGGCCUUUGAGGCUUUAUCGGCGCAGCUAACGCGAUAAGUAGACCGCCUGGGGAGUACGGUCGCAAGACUAAAACUCAAAUGAAUUGACGGGGGCCCGCACAAGCGGUGGAGCAUGUGGAAUAAUUCGAUGCAACGCGAAGAACCUUACCUGGCCUUGACAUACUAGAAACUUUCCAGAGAUGGAUUGGUGCCUUCGGGAAUCUAGAUACAGGUGCUGCAUGGCUGUCGUCAGCUCGUGGCGUGAGAUGUUGGGUUAAGUCCCGCAACGAGCGCAACCCUUUUCCUUACUUGCCAGCAUUUCGGAUGGGAACUUUAAGGAUACUGCCAGUGACAAACUGGAGGAAGGCGGGGACGACGUCAAGUCAUCAUGGCCCUUACGGCCAGGGCUACACACGUGCUACAAUGGUCGGUACAAAGGGUUGCUACACAGCGAUGUGAUGCUAAUCUCAAAAAGCCGAUCGUAGUCCGGAUUGGAGUCUGCAACUCGACUCCAUGAAGUCCCUAAAGCUAGUAAUCGCGGAUCAGAAUGCCGCGCCGAAUACGUUCCCGGGCCUUGUACACACCGCCCGUCACACCAUGGGAGUUUGUUGCACCAGAAGUAGCUAGCCUAACUGCAAAGAGGGCGGUUACCACGGUGUGGCCGAUGACUGGGGUGAAGU
This 1459-nucleotide ribosomal RNA is filed under the name Acinetobacter baumannii. RNAcentral describes it as "bacterial SSU rRNA". It matches the Rfam family "Bacterial small subunit ribosomal RNA". Lineage: Bacteria; Pseudomonadati; Pseudomonadota; Gammaproteobacteria; Moraxellales; Moraxellaceae. The record is from RNAcentral.